Molecule: long non-coding RNA, 4242 nt
Filed under: Astyanax mexicanus (Mexican tetra)
Lineage: Eukaryota; Metazoa; Chordata; Actinopteri; Characiformes; Acestrorhamphidae
Description: lncRNA (ENSAMXG00005017734.1)
Source: RNAcentral
AUGCUGAAAGAUGCGUUUCAGUCUGUGGAUGAGGAGUGUAUGAUGAGUGUACAGGAAUUUGUUUCCUGCGUCCUUAACAGAAACAAACCUCCUACUCCCUCUGCCUCAACACCCUACAGACAACUUAAGAGACACCACUCUAUGCAGCCGUUUGAUGAGACAGGCCGCAGGAUCUCGUCUUUGUUGAGCGGUACAAUAGGACUGCGGCUGUUCUCUGGAUUAGAUGAUGGAACAGGACACACAGCUGUAGAUCAGCUGCUGGACACCUGGCUAGAAGAGGGAGUGGAGAACUGCACAGAGAUCCUACAGGCUCUGGAUUUCAGCCUUGAUGGAAAGGUGAAUCUGAGUGAGCUGACAGCAGCUCUGGAGAAUGAGCUGUUGAUCACCAAGAACUCCAUCCACCAGGCGGCACUGGUGAGCUUUAAGGCGGAGAUCAGACACCUGCUUGAGCGUGUGGACCUGGAGCUCAGGGAAAAGGAGAAAAUCCGCUCUGAUCUGGAGAAAGCAGAAAAGCUCAAAUCUCAGUUGGCCUCUGAUGUGGAUGAACAUCACUCUGCCAUUGAACGCAUUAAUGAUCUGAACCUGCGGAAAUUAGAGCAGGAAUAUAAGGACAGAAUGGCUACUCUGAGGGUGGAGCUGAGCAAAGAGGUGGAGCUUGUGAGACUACAAGCCAAUCAGCAGAGUGAAGAACUGGAACAGGAAAUUAGGAGGAUCAGAGAUGAUGAGUCCUUUCUCAGAGAACACCUUACUCUGACUAUUAAGGAGAAUGGCCGCUUGGAAUCAGAGCUGCUGGACAGCACAGAGCGGCUGAUUGAAGCAGAUGCACAGCUGACUAAAUUGCAGAAAAACCUGGACAGUGUGCUCAAAGAGAGGUUUGGAGAUUUGGAUCUGAGCAAUGCAGAAUUUUACCAGCAGGAGGAGCGUCUGAGGCAGCUUCGCAGCAGUUAUGAGGAGCAGUGCCGGGAGCUACAAGAUCGUAUAGAUGAGUUACAGGCACAGUUAGAGGACUGCCGAGCUAUGGGACGGACUCCGCAGCUCUCUCUCAUGCCCUCUCUGUCUGAUGAGUUGGAUAGCAGAAGUCCUGGCAGGGAGUCUGACCAAGGUGUGUGUUCUUUCCUUUUGUUUUUUUUAACUUUCAAUAUACACCGACAUGUCAGAAGUCAUGGGACAGGAGUUGGAAUCAUGAAGGAGUUAGAGACCCACUUCUCACAGAGAAUCAAAGAAGUAGAGGCACGUUUCUCUGGUGACCAGGAAGCGGUGUCUGAGCGUUUUCAGACAGACGUACGAAAGCUGGAGCAGCACUACCAGAGCGAGCUUUCUGUGCUCACCCAGCGGCACGCCGCAGAGCGUGCACAGUGGGAAGAGGAGCUGGAAGCUGCAGUUCAGGAAGCAGAGCAGCAAAGGAAACUCCUACGAGAAGCUCUACAGCUAGAAAGAGAGAAUAUGGUCCAGGAGUUUGCAAAGGAACGAGAGACGCUGGAAAACAGCCAUGCUGCAGAGAUGGAGGCUCUAAGGGAAAAGAACCUAGAGCUGCAGAAUCAACUGGAGAACUUUAUUAGCUCCGCUCAAAUGAAGGAGAUCGAGCUCAGCCGUCAGCUAAAUGAGCUCCACAACCGGCUGCAGGAGAACCUGGAGACAAAGGAUGCGUUGCUAAGUCAUGCUGAAUGCAGGGCUGAGGAACUAGAGCAGCUGCUCAGACAGGCUACUGAGGACUUUGCACAGGAGAGGGCAGAGCUACAGUGCAACCUGUUGGAGUUGGAGGCCCAGCAAACUGAGACACAUUCGUUAGCUGAGAAACAGAUUCAGGAGCGAAGUGAUUUGCUUGCAGAGCGAGAGGAGUUGAAGGGAAAGUUGGAGGAGUUGGAGAAGGUCCUUCGCCAGGCGGUGGAAGACUUUCACUAUGAGCGACUGGAGCUGCAGGGCACUGUAGCUGAGCUGGAAGAGAAACUGAAAGAGAGCGUGUCAUUAAUAAUGGAGAAGGAGGAGCAGAGAGUAGCACUGUUGACCGAGAGGGACAGCUUAGAACUGAAAGUUCAGGAGAUGGAGGCAGAACUUGCAGAAGCUACCAGAGCAAUGGCUGUGGACAGGCAAGUGUUUCAGGAGCUAGGCAUAGGGAUGGAGUUUCUUGCUUCAUCUGCAGAGAAUUUUAUUGCUGUCAGAGAUGCAUGUGAGGAUGAGACCGCAGAUCACCAAUCAGAGGACUUUAGUGUUCUAGGAGCGGAUUCACCAUCUGUACAAGAUGAGGAUCUUGAGGGAGAGUUAACUUUGCAGAAGGAAAAUGCAGGAGACUUUGCAGGAGAAGACGCACAGACUGUUAAUGCUGAGAUGCUGAAAAUAAGUGGUGCUCGGGUUCUAAGCUGUGAUGAGAGUGAUUGUAGAGAUAGCAGUGAGAAAGUAGAAAAGGAGGAGGAUGGCUUUUAUGAGCCAGGUGGUACUUAUACCUUGGGAAGAGCAGAGAGCACAGACAAACUUUCUGUUGGCAAUUUGGAUAAUGAUUAUCAUGAGUGUGUGGUCUCCUGGGAUAGCAUUAGAUCUGUAGAUGUUUCUGAGGAGAUGGUUGACUUGACCAUUCCCAAUCUCGCAGCUGAGGAUGGGGAAGGUUUUGAGGCUGGAGAACCUGUAGAAGAAUUCCCAAGUGUUGAGAUGGAGGUUGCAAGACUUUGCACCUUAUCUGAAGAUGACAAGGUAGAGAUUCCAAGCAACCUCAUAGAUGAAGUGGAGGAGGAAAAAGGUGUAGACAAAAACAGUAAUGCAGUUAUUUGCAAUAGAACAGUGGUGCCAGGUGCUGAAUGUGGCGUCAGGAACAGGAACGUAGGGGAUAACUCUGCGAAUGAUGACAAUGCGGAGAACAUCCCUGAGGUCAAUAGCAUUAGCAUUGGUGAGAUUCUACCUGAGGAAGGGUUGAUUGAGACUGUCGAGAUGGCUUGCACAAGUGAAAAGGAAGAAGUGGAUAAGAUGGCUGAAGAGAAUCCUUUGGACAGUGAUAUUGCCAUUGCUGCAGCAAGCCUAGAUGAAGAUAAUGUAUCCCCAUCUUCAUUUGUGAUCUCUUCUGAGCUAAGUGAAGAUGUCUUGAGUGAAAGGCAGAAUAAAGACUACUUGGAGCCCAUGUUGGAGAAUGCAGAAGUAUUGAGGAUAGUUGAGGAGUGUUCUGAGAUCACUGGUACCCUAGACCUUGAAAAGGAUUCUGAUGAUUCAACCCAGUUGAACACAGUUGAGGAGGAUCAAGGUAAAGAAAAUGAAGCACAAGAGAGUGCAGAGGUUAUCAGCGAUUCUAUGGCAAUGGAUAACGAGCCAAACAAUGUUGAGGUUGCAGACCAAUAUGAUUCCACCACUGCUGAAGAUGAAGCCUCUUGCCACAAGGAGCCCAUACAGGAUCCCAAAGCUAUCGAUCAGGCAGAUAUUCCCAAUGAUCUUGAAUGUCCAGAACUGACUGUAGCUCUUGAGAAUGAAUCCAUGGUAAAAGAAACCAACCAGCAAGAAACUCAUGAGGACCAAAGCAUCUGUGCCAGAGAGAUCCUGGAGUUGCAGGAAAUAGCAGUGCAGUUCAAAGACCAGAGCAGCCUUCUGGAGGUUCUCCAGGACCAGUACAGCAGUGCUGUAGAGCAGAAUCUCUCUCUGCAAGAGCAGCUAAGCCUGCUACAACAGCACACCAAUGAGCUGGAACUGCUGCUGGACCUAAACAGAGGGAAGCUGCAGGAGAGCCAUGAGCUCAGGGUAGAGUUAAUCGCUUUGGCAGCCCAAGCUAAAGAACUGGAGAUCAAAGAGCUGGAGCUCACUGAUCUUCAAAAGAGCUAUGAGGAGUGUGUUUGCGAGAAUUUGCAGUUAGUAGAUCGCAACAGGAAACUGGAGAAAAGGGUGCAGAACCUGGAAAGCAGGAUGAACAUUGUUCAGGAGUUUCAGGAGCAACAGACGUGCUUGCUAGAAGAGAUCGCUCGGAUGCGUGAGGAGAAUGCCAAGUUAAGCAUGGCCGUGCAGGAACUGGAAAAGCAGGACGAGAUGAUGCUGGCUCUGCAGCAGGAUGCCGAAUCUUCCGACUCCUCAGACGACUCCUUUCUCGACUUAGGCUCCCAACUGGAGGCGAAGAUUGCUGCGGUGUCGGAGCUAGAAGACUGCUGCACAGAGUUUGAAAAGCAGAACUCGAGGCUACGCCAUGCACUUGCCAACAUUCAGGAGAAGUCCCUCAGGAUACAUGACAGAAUGCAGGAACAUAGGUAUUGUAAAGUGGGAUGUUGUCGUUGCUAG